GUCGUAACAAGGUUUCCGUAGGUGAACCUGCGGAAGGAUCAUUACCACACCAAAAAAACUUUCCACGUGAACCGUUGUAACUAUGUUCUGUGCUCUCUUCUCGGAGAGAGCUGAACGAAGGUGGGCUGCUUAAUUGUAGUCUGCCGAUGUACUUUUAAACCCAUUAAACUAAUACUGAACUAUACUCCGAAAACGAAAGUCUUUGGUUUUAAUCAAUAACAACUUUCAGCAGUGGAUGUCUAGGCUC
RNAcentral lists this unclassified non-coding RNA (247 nucleotides) under fungal sp. RNAcentral's name for it is "partial internal transcribed spacer region". The stretch from base 1 to 44 matches the Rfam family "Eukaryotic small subunit ribosomal RNA", at positions 1788 to 1831 of the family's 1831-position model. Lineage: Eukaryota; Fungi. The record is from RNAcentral.